RNAcentral lists this ribosomal RNA (801 nucleotides) under uncultured bacterium. Its description in RNAcentral is "bacterial SSU rRNA". It matches the Rfam family "Bacterial small subunit ribosomal RNA", at positions 69 to 866 of the family's 1533-position model. The record is from RNAcentral.
GCAGCGCGGGGCAACCUGGCGGCGAGUGGCGAACGGGUGAGUAAUAUAUCGGAACGUACCCAAGAGUGGGGGAUAACGCAGCGAAAGUUGCGCUAAUACCGCAUACGAUCUAUGGAUGAAAGCAGGGGACCGCAAGGCCUUGUGCUCCUGGAGCGGCCGAUAUCUGAUUAGCUAGUUGGUGAGGUAAAGGCUCACCAAGGCGACGAUCAGUAGCUGGUCUGAGAGGACGACCAGCCACACUGGAACUGAGACACGGUCCAGACUCCUACGGGAGGCAGCAGUGGGGAAUUUUGGACAAUGGGCGCAAGCCUGAUCCAGCAAUGCCGCGUGAGUGAAGAAGGCCUUCGGGUUGUAAAGCUCUUUUGUCAGGGAAGAAACGGCUGUGGCUAAUAUCCACGGCUAAUGACGGUACCUGAAGAAUAAGCACCGGCUAACUACGUGCCAGCAGCCGCGGUAAUACGUAGGGUGCAAGCGUUAAUCGGAAUUACUGGGCGUAAAGCGUGCGCAGGCGGUUUUGUAAGUCUGACGUGAAAUCCCCGGGCUUAACCUGGGAAUUGCGUUGGAGACUGCAAGGCUAGAAUCUGGCAGAGGGGGGUAGAAUUCUACGUGUAGCAGUGAAAUGCGUAGAGAUGUGGAGGAACAUUGAUGGCGAAGGCAGUCUCUCUGGGUCAAGAUUGACGCUCAUGCACGAAAGCGUGGGGAGCAAACAGGAUUAGAUAUCUCUGGUAGUCCACGCUCUAAACGAUGUCUACUAGUUGUCGGGUCUUAAUUGACUUGGUAACGCAGCUAACGCGUGAAGUA